GGGAGGUUUGAGCACAUAGUCCUCUCUUUAAUGCCACUUCAGAUCAUGCCAUCAUUUGGAUAGAGAGAGAAGCUCAAAGGGCUCUAGAUGACAAUGAGUUGGUCCGGUUGAAGCGUGAAGCAAGGCUGAAAGGAGGAUUCUAUGUCAAGCCAGAGUCUAAGCUUUCGUUUAUCAUUCGUAUCCAUGGUAUCAAUGCCAUUGAUCCAAAGACAAAGAAGAUCUUGCAACUUUUGUGAUUGAGACAGGUACUAUAUACUCGUACCUUUGGAAAUAUUGAUGGUUACCUGCAUCUAGAAGUAUGAAAAUAAGAAUUUGUAGGUAAUGUUCAUGCAUUUUGGAUUGAAUAUAUAGCUGGUAAUGCUUUGUAGAGUUAGGAAAUUAUAUAGAUUGCUGAGAAUUUGAUUAUUAAUGUUAGUGAGCCUUUGAAUCAUUUGGAACCUGCUUGUGGCUGAGAAGUUGAAACUUUGAACUGGGGGUAUAUUUGCUAAAUGUGGUUUAUUUUUGUUAUCUGAUCGUAUUAGUUAGAAGUUUAGGUUGAAAGUGAUAGAAUUUACAUAUGAAUUGGCAUUUACUGGGCUCACUAGUUUCCAGACCCAGCGACCUGUUUCUGUAAAACUGUAAUUUUCUGUUAAUAAUUUGAAGCUAUUUUCUUCUGAGAAUUUGUAGUGGACUUGUUAAAGAGUAUUUGAGACGUGGAAACUCCUAAAAACGAUUUUUCUAUAAUUAGUUAUGAUUUUUCAAAGUUACAGGUCUGUUGCAGGAAUUUCUGAAAACAGUAUCACUGUCAUGUUCUUUCUGCAGCACUGCUAUAUUGUUGUGCUGAUUAGCUUUCCUUUGAUAGUUUAGUG
This is a long non-coding RNA of Rosa rugosa (rugosa rose), 848 nucleotides long. RefSeq lists it as uncharacterized. The record is from RefSeq and is a predicted model, not a curated record. Lineage: Eukaryota; Viridiplantae; Streptophyta; Magnoliopsida; Rosales; Rosaceae. The transcript has 3 exons.